GACGAACGCUGGCGGCGUGCCUAAUACAUGCAAGUAGAACGCACAGUUUAUACCGUAGCUUGCUACACCAUAGACUGUGAGUUGCGAACGGGUGAGUAACGCGUAGGUAACCUGCCUGGUAGCGGGGGAUAACUAUUGGAAACGAUAGCUAAUACCGCAUAAUAUUAAUUAUUGCAUGAUAAUUGAUUGAAAGAUGCAACUGCAUCACUACCAGAUGGACCUGCGUUGUAUUAGCUAGUAGGGGAGGUAACGGCUCACCUAGGCGACGAUACAUAGCCGACCUGAGAGGGUGAUCGGCCACACUGGGACUGAGACACGGCCCAGACUCCUACGGGAGGCAGCAGUAGGGAAUCUUCGGCAAUGGACGAAAGUCUGACCGAGCAACGCCGCGUGAGUGAAGAAGGUUUUCGGAUCGUAAAGCUCUGUUGUAAGAGAAGAACGGGUGUGAGAGUGGAAAGUUCACACUGUGACGGUAUCUUACCAGAAAGGGACGGCUAACUACGUG
RNAcentral lists this ribosomal RNA (505 nucleotides) under uncultured bacterium. RNAcentral describes it as "partial 16S ribosomal RNA". It matches the Rfam family "Bacterial small subunit ribosomal RNA", at positions 28 to 507 of the family's 1533-position model. The record is from RNAcentral.